Long non-coding RNA from Lepidothrix coronata (blue-crowned manakin), 1863 nucleotides. RefSeq lists it as uncharacterized. The transcript has 6 exons. Lineage: Eukaryota; Metazoa; Chordata; Aves; Passeriformes; Pipridae. The record is from RefSeq and is a predicted model, not a curated record.
GGUUUGGAUCAAAGCUGAAUUGCAUUUGAUUGCCCUGAAGCAGAGAACAGAAGAACUCGCAUCUUGAAAUUAGACACAGUUGGAUUUUCAGUGAAGGUGUUUCAGUGAAGACUUAAAUUCUUGAAUCUGACCCUAAGUGCUGUGGUCUCAUUUUUGUGUCUGCACUGAGUUUGUUACCUGGUGCCAAAUGAUCCUCUCUUCAUCAGGAUAAAGUCACUACAUUAUCAGCUUUUCACACCAGGUACUCAUCUCAACUGGAGAAAACAGCACUUGGGAGUCAGAGAGGAAAAGUGUUCAGUGAAGAAAUUCAGUGAUGAGAGAAGAGUUUCAUUGGUGUUGGAAGGCAAACACAGAAAAGUAAACACAGCCCAGUGGAUUACAACAGAUGAAUGGUCACCACUUAGUAACAACAUUAAAUCCUGCCUUUCAAGAGUCAAAAGGACUGGAAUCUGCUUCUAAGAUAUUUAGUAAUCUACUGGAAAAGUUGGCCACCAGUUCUAGCUUUUAUCCCAAGUUUUCUGUUGUUCUGACGAUAUUUGAUGAGGAAAUUACCUGCUACAAGGAGAUGUUUAAAAAUCACAGACACCCACUGUUUUAGUGUCAUCCAUGUUUAUUGCUGAAGUUUUGCCAAAAGAACACCCUGCAGUUCUCCAGGCUUAAGAAGUGUUGCCUGUCAGAAAAGCCAGUGGAACUCCUUAACAAUAACUGGACUUGCCUUCAGCCAGCAUAAGCCUCGUUCUUCCUAAACAGAUGGAUGUUUCACAGAGAGGCAAAUGAAAGCAUCUCUAUGAAGCACCUGAGACUCCUCUGUCACCCAGUGUAACUUGUCCCAGGAAGCCCUUGGGUAUUUGCCUAGAGACAGAGAUUGUGAAUCUGAAGCUGAUACCUCUUUAGUCACUGAGAGUGGAUUUGGGAUUUUAUGUGCUGCUUAUACAGUGGUAAAACUGGGACUAUCACCAUAAAUAUUUCUGUUUGUUUAAGUUAAAGAAUGGAUGUGAUACACUUUAUGAAAACACACCAGUGACUGCAGGCAGUUUAAAAUGGUCUUAUGAGUUACAAGAGGCUUCUCAGGCAUGGAACACAUUUUCAACACAUCAAUUCUCUAGUUUUCCAGAUAGGGGAAACAAACUGUGUUUUGCAAAAAUAUGAAUAUUGGAAUAAAUGUAUUAAUAUAAUGAAGAAAUGGACCUCUGCUAGACAUGGGAUCUACACCUUCUCUGUGCCUCAGACCUCGGUGUAAUAAUUCUCUGGAAUUUGGAUGGUAUGAGGUAAUUUUAGUCAGAAGGUUACACAGUAGUAAAUUUCACUGCAUGACAUUAAGAAUUUCUUUUAAUUGUUUUAGUAAUUAUUUUGUUUUAUGGUAAAAUUCUCUUUCAUUCUAGAGAGAAGCAUAAGAUGUGUAUCUGUUUUCAUGAAUUUUUACUUCAGCGUGCAAAAAAGUGUAACAGGAUUGUGUGUUUGUAUUAUACAUGUUCCCUGAGAAGCAUUAGAGGUUUAAAAUAAGAGAAAUGACAUUUAAAUUUCAUAUUUCAUAUUUAUAUUGUACAUGGGAUCUAAAUGAAAAGACUAGAACUGCAGGACACAGAUGGCAAAGACUUGUAGCUCUUGCUUUCAAGAGGCUGCUAUAAAUUCUGCUUCAGUAAAUUCUGUAGUCAUGAUGAGGUAACUUGAGAUAGCUUUUUACUUGGUGUCUGAUUGCCCUUUUCUGAAUAACAAAAUCUUUUGUGAUUCUGUAGCUUUCUGCUAUUUCUCCAAGGGAUGUAAUAUCUUGAAAUUUUACAACAUCCUUCUAACACCCAGCAGUUUCACUGCUUUCAUAUUGCAAGAGACACACUAGGUAAAUAAAGAAGAUUCUUACUGACA